GUGCCAGCAGCCGCGGUAAUACGAAGGGGGCUAGCGUUGUUCGGAAUUACUGGGCGUAAAGCGUAUGUAGGCGGAUCUUUAAGUCAGGGGUGAAAUCCCGAGGCUCAACCUCGGAACUGCCUUUGAUACUGGGGAUCUUGAGUCCGGGAGAGGUGAGUGGAACUGCGAGUGUAGAGGUGAAAUUCGUAGAUAUUCGCAAGAACACCAGUGGCGAAGGCGGCUCACUGGCCCGGUACUGACGCUGAAAUACGAAAGCGUGGGGAGCAAACAGGAUUAGAAACCCCUGUAGUCC
RNAcentral lists this ribosomal RNA (292 nucleotides) under uncultured bacterium. Its description in RNAcentral is "partial 16S ribosomal RNA". It matches the Rfam family "Bacterial small subunit ribosomal RNA", at positions 505 to 796 of the family's 1533-position model. The record is from RNAcentral.